This is a long non-coding RNA of Cyprinus carpio (common carp), 1461 nucleotides long. Lineage: Eukaryota; Metazoa; Chordata; Actinopteri; Cypriniformes; Cyprinidae. The record is from Ensembl.
AUGAAUGUCUUCUUUCUCAUAAGCAGGUCAGAAUUGUGCAGAAUUGCUGAGUUGUGUAUAGGACUACAUGGUCUGUUACAUAUUUUGUUGCAGGAACUUAAAAUUCCUAGGCUGAAGAAAGGAGAGCGCAGGAGGAGGAGGAGAGAAGGAUGCAGAGAGCUGCAGACCACCCAACUGAGCGCCUGUCUUGUCUGCUGGAAAAAGGAUUGUAAUUUUCUUCCCAAAGCUGGAUGAUGGUCUGAGUGAUGUGCAUGGACUGAAAACACCACAGAGACUUCAGCAACAGUAGCGACAAUGAUCAAUGUCACACCCAGGAUUCUCAGGGUGGGAGGAUACAGCUUCACUGAUCUUUGACUAUGGGAUAAUAGGGACUGCAUUAGCUUCCGAUAUCCUAUAUGAAAGUAAUGUGAGUUCAAACAAAAAAAAGAGGUGUGGUACUGCAUUUAAAAAAAAAAACACUCAUCUGUGAUAUCGUAUUCCAGUUUGUCUUGUUUCUAACCGACACUAAGAGAUUAAAAUAUUACUGCGCAUGUUCCAAUAUUUGCACUACACCUACUAUACUGACCGCGUAAACUUAUGACCUUUCAAGAAAUCCCUGGCAGUCUUCAGUCUAGCCCUGAUCCGUUUGUGGUCUGCAGUGCACACUCUACAACGAUUUGACUCAUAGUCCUUCGGUCUUUUCUUGUCUCAAUGCAUCCUUUUCAGUUUUCAUCUAGUACUCCACCUUGUAAUUGUCACUACCUCCAGGCGGGGGUUUGAACAAAGCAUUCCUAGUAAAGACCUACUUAGACAUAGUUGCUUUCUCACGCUCUCUUUUUUGUUUUCAUAUAGCUCUUUUCACACCGACUUAUUCACUGUUUGCCAUCUUAUGUUGCAUCCAACCAUAUGACGAGUCCAAGCUGCUGUUAAUCAGUGAUUGUGUUACAGCCAGUGCUUGAAUGAGAAAAUGCCUCUGUUCUGCAGACGUGUUUCAAUGUGUACCUUUUAAAAGUUGAUGUCAUAUAGGGUGUCGUAUAGUUUUUAUAUGUUUUAUAGUUUUCUGUUCUAGAAAGCAGUUAUCAUCUGACCACAUUUUGGAAAUAACAUACAGCAAUGGGUUGUGCCAUUUGCACACAGUUGAUUGAUAUGUGGAGUGUGUCUGGCUCACAAAGAGGACAGACAUCAAUGGACAUGUCUCAUUUACCAGAGGUCACUCAGCAGGACUACCACAGACUCUCAGGCCUCCACUAUACUUCCUCUUUCUCUGAUGCAGAGGACUGUUGUGAUGACAUCACAAGCACAUGCUCCUCCUCCUCCUCGGACUGUUUCAGAAUAGACUGUUGACACUUGUGGUUUCAGACUUUUACAGGUUACUCGCACCUUGUGUCAAAUAUUGCCAUUCUUUUUGGCUCCAAAAUUCUGCCACUUACAAUAUGACAGUGUGACAAUAAAAUAUUUAUAAUUAACUAAUGAGGUCCUUGU